RNAcentral lists this ribosomal RNA (301 nucleotides) under uncultured bacterium. Its description in RNAcentral is "partial 16S ribosomal RNA". It matches the Rfam family "Bacterial small subunit ribosomal RNA", at positions 509 to 807 of the family's 1533-position model. The record is from RNAcentral.
CAGUCGCCACGGGAAUACGAGGGGUCCUAGCGUUGCUCGGAAUCAUUGGGCGUAAAGCGGAUGUAGGCGGACAACCAAGUCAGAUGUGAAAGCCCCGGGCUCAACCCGGGAAGUGCAUUUGAAACUGGCUAUCUUGAGUGCAGUAGAGGAAGGUGGAAUUCCAAGUGUAGUGGUGAAAUACGUAGAUAUUUGGAGGAACAUCGGUGGCGAAGGCGACCUUCUGGACUGUUACUGACGCUGAGAUCCGAAAGCGUGGGGAUCAAACAGGAUUAGAUACCCGCGUAGUCCCUGUCUCUUAUAC